Molecule: long non-coding RNA, 342 nt
Organism: Ostrea edulis (European flat oyster)
Lineage: Eukaryota; Metazoa; Mollusca; Bivalvia; Ostreida; Ostreidae
Exons: 2
Source: RefSeq, a predicted model, not a curated record
AAGGCUUUGUAUACUAGGACUGACAGGGGCUUUUGCACAGUUGGUACCAGGCGUGUACUCAAAGGUGAAACAUGUCGACGAAGAAACCAGACGAGUCGUAUUUUCUAUAAGAAUCGGAAUCGGACGCUAUAUCUAUCCCUGCAUCAGAUUUCAUUGGUUAGGUGGGCUAGGGUAUGUGAAGAAAACUUGAUCAAUCAGGUCAGCAUGCCGCCAGUUUUUGCCUAUUUGUCCCGUUACAAUUGUCGGAAUACGAAAUGAUAUUGCCUAAUGACUACUUACUACCAUAAGUGGCGCUACGCAGACCAAAUUCAAUAGUGAAAUAAAACUAAAGUUCGAAAAAUA